Molecule: ribosomal RNA, 454 nt
Filed under: uncultured bacterium
Lineage: Bacteria
Description: bacterial SSU rRNA
Rfam family: Bacterial small subunit ribosomal RNA
Source: RNAcentral
GGCCCCGCACAAGCAGCGGAGCGUGUGGUUUAAUUCGAUGUUACACGAAGAACCUUACCUGGGAUUGACAUGGAGGUGGUAGGGAAGCGAAAGCGGACCGACUCUUCGGAGAGCCUUCACAGGUGCUGCAUGGCUGUCGUCAGCUCGUGCCGUGAGGUGUCGGGUUAAGUCCCGUAACGAGCGCAACCCUUGCCCUUAGUUACAAGUGUCUAGGGGGACUGCCGGCGGGAAGCCGGAGGAAGGUGGGGAUGACGUCAAGUCAGCAUGGCCCUUAUGUCCAGGGCUACACACACGCUACAAUGGAUGGUACAAAGGGCAGCGAAGCCGCGAGGCGGAGCGAAUCCCGGCAAAGCCAUCCGUAGUACGGAUAGCAGGCUGCAACUCGCCUGCUUGAAGCUGGAGUUGCUAGUAACCGCGCGUCAGCGAUAGUGCGGUGAAUACGUUCCCGGGGCUU